Molecule: unclassified non-coding RNA, 336 nt
Filed under: soil metagenome
Description: partial contains 5.8S ribosomal RNA, internal transcribed spacer 2, and large subunit ribosomal RNA
Rfam family: 5.8S ribosomal RNA (bases 1-120)
Source: RNAcentral
GAUGAAGAACGCAGCGAAAUGCGAUAAGUAGUGUGAAUUGCAGAAUUCCGUGAAUCAUCGAAUCUUUGAACGCACAUUGCGCCCGCCAGUAUUCUGGCGGGCAUGCCUGUUCGAGCGUCAUUUCAACCAUCAAGCCCCCGGCUUGUGUUGGGGACCUGCGGCUGCCGCAGGCCCUGAAAAGCAGUGGCGGGCUCGCUGUCACACCGAGCGUAGUAGCAUACAUCUCGCUCUGGGCGUGCUGCGGGUUCCGGCCGUUAAACCACCUUCAUAACCCAAGGUUGACCUCGGAUCAGGUAGGAAGACCCGCUGAACUUAAGCAUAUCAAUAAGCGGAGGA